CAAGCAAUGCAGGCAAGAGUUGGGAGUCCCAAAUUUAAGGGUCAAUAUUUCAUUCUGAUCUUUUCCGUCUCUGGAGCCUACCAGUGAGGGGCAGACGAUCUAGUGGGCAGGCCUUAGUUCUGAGGUUUGAGGGUGCCCCACCCAAUCCAGCUUGCUUCAGGGAAUGGGGAGUACAGUGUUGUCAAGCUCCAGUCCCAGCUCUGCUACCCCUGGGCCAUGUGACCUUGGGCAAGUCACUUAACUACCCCAAGCCUUGUAAACCAAGGGACAAGCACAGAGCCAUCAUGGGAGUCACAUGAGCAAGCGAAACAGACACAGGGUUCAGCUCACCGCAGGUGCUUAAACAGUGGGGCUAAUAUUAUUCACGGGUGCCUGUCAUCCCCAAAAUUAAUCCAGCCCAGACACUGAACCAAGAGGGAUCCAAGACCCCUGAAGGGAGUAGGUGUGGGGUGGUCCUUGGCACUGGCAAUGGCAAGGUUGCCCCUACUGUUUUAGGCCAGAAAGGCUUUCAGGAGCUGGGUGUCCUGUGACACCAGCCUUCUUUUCCCCAUCCUCUGAGGCUGACAGACACCCAGACCUCCCACGACUUCAAGGGCCAUGCCAGAGGAGGCACUGAGGCACAGAUGGUGGGCUUGUCCCUGCCUGUCAGCCAGGCCUGUGUCUCGUGGCCCAGGCCUCCAGGCCAGAAUACUCCAUUCCCUGCCAUUGGUCCAAGGUGAAGUUUGACACAAUUACAGGGAUUUGGGUAGUUAUGCUCCUUUACCACAGGGAGGAGCCCUAGAGACCAUGGCCAAUUCACAGACACAAGAAGGAAGAUGGGUAAAGAUGGGAGCCCAAAGCUUCAGUUUGUGGAGGCAUUAAAGGGCUAACAAAUAAGUGGCUAAUAAAGCCGUUUAUUGCUUAAGCUAGUCUGAGUUAAUUCUCUGUCACUUGUCACCAAAGUGUCCUGGUGAAAACCUACACCAUUUCACCAGGUUAUUGGGUGAAUAAAGGAGAUAAUAUUUCCAAGUCUUUGGCAUAAAAAUCAGUGCUCAGAAAAGUCAUCAAUAAGAUGAUUCUCAGCUGCAUGCAGUAAUGACCUUUGCACCUUCUCCAUCCACAGUUUUGCAAUAUCACCCCACUGUGUUUAUACAAAUACAAUUUGUGAAAACUCUCCCUAACAUGAACACAGGUUUUGAGCUGGUAUUUAAAUGCAGACAAUGGGGGGAGGGGAUUUUCUCUGUAGAUUCCAUUCAGAUGGAUAUUGUCAGAGAUUUCUGAGAACAAAUGAAAAUAAUUGUUGGUGUAAAAUGCCUAAGAGAACACAUGUAGGGUUACCUCUGGUCCCAUAUGCAUAGAGUGGAACCCCCUCUGGGUAACCCACAACUGGAUCAGGCAGUGGGGUACUUCAUAAACAACAGAGUUCAAUUGAAAAAGUGAAUUACUGGUGCUGAGUUACUAAUAAGAAAAUAAUCAAGUUAUACCCACCACAAAAAUGUCCACAAACAGAACGAUUGUGACAAGGGCAGAAACCUGGAGUCAUGCUCUGUAAAACAAAGUGAAGCUGCAACUCUGGAAGAAGGCAACUUACUGCAAUAGGUCUUUUUGCUUAUAAAACACUCUGCUAACAAUGAGUGAUAAUGAAGAGUGAUGAUGGCCAGAACAAUAAUAGCAGCUGCUGAGAACUAAGUACUUAACCUAGGCCAGUGUCUCUGGGAUUAUUUCAUUUCAUUUUCACUCAAAAUAUUAUCAUCACCAUUCUACAGAUGAAGACACUGAGGCUCUGAGAAGUGCAGCAGCUUGUUCAAGGUCACUGAGAGCAGUUUACCGGUCUAAACAAGCAACUCUGCCUAAAAGGAAGGCCAGGACAGACAGGAAAAGCCCCAAAUAUUUUGCAACUCUGCCUUUCUGAGGGGUGGGGCAGACUUCAUCAGACAGGCUCCAAGCCAAGGAUUGCCUGGGAAUGGCCUGAGGACAGAGGACAAGGCCACAUCCCAAGGCAACAGGAGUGAGGACUCAACAGCAGGGCUGAGAGGUGUGGCCCAUCUUAAGCUGUCUCAUGGGUGCUGGCCAGCAGGUUGGCUCAGACAGGCCAGGACAAGGGAAGCGGGAGAAAGGGAGACUGACGACCAGAAAGCCACCCUCCGUCUCAAGGCUAUUACAGGCAUGAUCUGUGCCUCUUGCAUCAUGGCCUUGUGCUGUCCAGAAGGGAAGGGCUGAACUCAGAGUAGUCCGCCACUUGCUAAGUUCACAGCCAAUCGGCACAGAUGGGAAGUUGGAGAAGGGAAGGGAGGAGGGUGGUUCAUUUUCACAGAUUAAAGUCUUCCCCCUUAUCUACCCACCCCCCAAGAGUCCAGGGAAGAAAUCUUGUAGACUGAGAGCCUAAAAAAUUGAUGAACAUCAGCAGGUCAGGAAAAGAAGCAGGAAGUAGGGUUAUCCAUGGGGAGAUCAGACACAGAAGCAGGUGCAAGAGCUGGGCAGGAAGUUGGACAAUGCCAGGCUGGGACCUUUGGGAGCCUGGCCAUAUACUCCCUGAGGUCUCUCCAAAUCGCUGGAAAAGGGGGGGAUCUGUCUCAGUGGUGACACUCAUAGCCAUGGCCCUGCUCAGAAGAGGGCCUGGCCAGCAGCACCACUGCAAGGAAGACUCUCCUACCACUAAGCAGAAAGAAUAUUAAGACAAACUACUGAGAUUUCCCCCCCUGGAGUUUUUACUUUAUUUCUGAUUUUUUUUUUUUUUUCUUUUUAGGGCUGCACCUGCAGCAUAUAGAGGUUCCCAGGCUAGGGGUCGAAUUGGAGCUGUAGUCACCAGCCUACGCUACAGCCACAGCAAUGCCAGAUCUGAGCCACGUCUGCGACCUACACCACAGCUCACGGCAACGCCAGAUCCUUAACCCACAGAGCAAGGCCAGGGAUCAAACCUGCGUCCUCAUGGAUGCUAGUCAGAUUUGUUUCCACUGAGUCAUGAUGGGAACUCCAAGUUUUUAUUUUAUAUUAUUUGGCUGCUGUGUUGUUUGGAACAACAAAGUUUAUGAUUCUUUUAUCUUUCUCAGGGUAUGUAUCUUUCUUCAUUAGCUAAUGUUCCUCUUUGUCCUGUUUAAUGCUUUUGAUCUUGAAUUCUACUUCAGUAAUAAUGCUGGUGCUCAUACGUUCUUUUUUUGUCUUAACCUAUCUUUGUCUAGUCCUUUAUAUUUUACAGUCUUUCUUUGUCUGUUUUUCUUUAUUUCUUGUUUUCUAAAAAAAGUAUACAACUGGAGUUUAUUUUACUUUUUGUUAUAUUUGGAACAUACAGAAACCUAUAACUGCUAUGUUAUGAAACGUAGGAUAAACACCUAUGAGCCUAGGUAGAACAUUACCAGAGACAGGAACUAGAACUUUACCACGACAAUUGAGUCUUCCUGUGUCCCAGCCCAUUUCUCCCCUUACCUCACCCUGAAGAUAACCAUUAUUUUGUAUUUUGUGUUUAAUAUUAUACAUUAUCUAAUAUGAAUUUAUAUAUAUUAUAAUCUAUAUCAUACACAAUAUAAUUAUAUAUUAUUGCUUUGAUAAAAAAUUCCCAGUUAUAUAUUGUUCACUUUUGCAUGUUUCUGAGCUUUAUACAAGCCAUAUUCUAUGCAUAGUCUUCUACUAGUUCAGUUUUGACUCAAUAUCAUUCCCAACAUUCAUCCACAUUUUUGCACCUAGCCAUGAUGCAUAGCUAUGUAAAAUUCUACAUAUUUAUUAAUUCUCCUGUUGCAGGUAUUUGAGUUUUUCCAAUUAUUCUUCAAAAUAAAGAGUCCUGCAAUGAGUUCCAUCCACAUGGCUCCUAAAGCACACAUACCAGAGUCUUUCCUGAGCAUAACCUAGUGGAAGUCGAUGGCUUGCCAGAAGAUGCACAGUCAGCUUUGUCAAAGUCAGUGUUUUCCGUAGUGAUUUUACUAUUUGCACUUCCACCAGCAAUUAAGAAGAGUUCCCACUGCUCCCCAUCCUUGACUAUACUUACUGAUUUUUGACUUGCUCCAAAGAAUCUGAACUUGCUACUACCUUGCUAUUAAUGAAGGUGGGCAUCUUUCCAUGUGUGUUUUCUCUUUUAUGAAACACCUAUUUAUGUCUUUUGCUUGAUUUUCUUUCGGGUUGUUUGUCUAUUUCUUAUUUACUUUGAGGGUUGUUUUUAAGAAAUGUAUUCUAGAUACAAAUACUUUGCUAGUUAUAUGUGCCACAAAUAAUUUCUUUCGGCUUGUGGAAUAGAAGUUAAUGUAGAUUUUAAUGUAGUCUGAUUCACCUUAUAUUUAUGGUUUCUGCUAUUUUGUGUGUCUUAUUUACAAAAUCCUUCACUACCCAAAUCAUAAAGAUAUUCUCUUAUAUUUUUUCUUAGAUUUUAUUUAUUUAUUAUUUAUUUAUUU
This 4358-nucleotide long non-coding RNA is filed under the name Sus scrofa (pig). RNAcentral's name for it is "lncRNA (ENSSSCG00000056592.1)". The record is from RNAcentral. Lineage: Eukaryota; Metazoa; Chordata; Mammalia; Artiodactyla; Suidae.